Long non-coding RNA from Oncorhynchus tshawytscha (Chinook salmon), 516 nucleotides. The record is from Ensembl. NCBI's taxonomy places the organism in Eukaryota, Metazoa, Chordata, Actinopteri, Salmoniformes, Salmonidae.
UUCUCCUAAAGGUCUGUCUGUCUAUCUGUUCUGUUCUCCUAAAGGUCUGUCUGUCUGUCUGCUCUGUUCUCCUAAAGGUCUGUCUGACUGCUCUGUUCUGUUCUCCUAAAUGUCUGUCUGUCUGCUCUGUUCUCCUAAAGGUCUGUCUGUCUGCUCUGUUCUCCUAAAGGUCUGACUGCUCUGUUCUGUUCUCCUAAAGGUCUGUCUGUCUGUUCUGUUCUCCUAAAGGUCUGUCUGUCUGCUCUGUUCUGUUCUCCUAAAGGUCUGUCUGUCUGUCUGUCUGUCUGUCUGUCUGUCUGUCUGUCUGUCUGUCUGUCUGUCUGUCUGUCUGUCUGUCUGUCUGUUCUGUUCUCCUAAACGUCUGUCUGCUCUGUUCUGUUCUCCUAAAGGUCUGUCUGUCUGUUCUGGUCUCCUAAAGGUCUGUCUGUCUGUUCUGUUCUCCUAAAGGUCUGUCUGUCUGUCUGCUCUGUUCUCCUAAAGGUCUGACUGCUCUGUUCUGUUCUCCUAAAGGUCUGU